CCCCUAUUAGUCUUUGUUAAAUUUGCACUUUUCCAACAAAUCUGUAGAACUUAUUUUGUUUCAAAUAAAGAAAUACUUGGCAUGAGUAAAGUUUUAUCCUGUCCAGUACUAUAGAAAAACAAUCACAUAACAUUUCAUUGCAUAUAAGAAAAUAACCAUACCUGGAAGUUAACCAAUCAAAUGUCUGCUCUUAUUUUAUCUGUGUACAAGGUAUAGUCACCAUGUAACCUCAAGAUUACAAAAUAUUUAAUAGAAAUAUCAAAUAAAAAAAUAAUGGAGCUUUGAA
RNAcentral lists this long non-coding RNA (286 nucleotides) under Mytilus galloprovincialis (Mediterranean mussel). The record is from RNAcentral. Lineage: Eukaryota; Metazoa; Mollusca; Bivalvia; Mytilida; Mytilidae.